This 405-nucleotide ribosomal RNA is filed under the name uncultured bacterium. Its description in RNAcentral is "partial 16S ribosomal RNA". It matches the Rfam family "Bacterial small subunit ribosomal RNA", at positions 28 to 526 of the family's 1533-position model. The record is from RNAcentral.
GAUGAACGCUGGCGGCGUGCCUAAUACAUGCAAGUCGAGCGAAGCGGGGACGGGUGAGUAUAACGUGGAUAACCUCCUUGAAGACUGGGAUAACUUCGGGAAAACGGAACUUAACCGGAUACUUAACGAUGGAUCCGAGCUGCAUUAGCUAGUUGGUAAGGUAACGGCUUACCAAGUCCACGAUCCAUAGCUGACCUGAGAGGGUGAUCGGCCACACUGGGACUGAGACACGGUCCAGACUCCUACGGGAGGCAGCAGUAGGGAAUCUUCCUCAAUGGGCGCAAGCCUGACGGAGCCACGCCGCGUGAGUGAUGAAGGUCUUCGGAUCGUAAAGCACUGUUAUUAGGGAGGCGGUACCUAAUCAAGAAGCCACGGCUAACUACGUGCCAGCAGCCGCGGUAAUAC